Non-coding RNA from Schizosaccharomyces pombe (fission yeast), 1124 nucleotides. The record is from the annotation of a GenBank genome assembly. Lineage: Eukaryota; Fungi; Ascomycota; Schizosaccharomycetes; Schizosaccharomycetales; Schizosaccharomycetaceae.
UUUGAUUUCAUUCCUAUAACGGGUAAUGGCAGAUAUGACUAGCUCCUGAUGAUAGACGCUAAACCAUCCAGCCUGUCCCCAAAUGAUGCCUUGGCCAGAAGCUUGAAAAAAUAAAUAUUGUAUAACUUUGUAGUAUUCAGGAUGGUCACGAGGCAAAGAUAUCUUCCUUUCCGUAUCAUAUUUGUCAGCUAAAUAGAUUAAAAUGGCAUCAGAUUCCCAAAUGGUAUAAUCGUUAUUGUGGUGAUCAAUCAAGGUAGGUACUCUACCGUUAGGGUUUAAGGCUAAGUGUUCGGGGGAUUUCUGCUCAUUUUUUGAAAAAUUCACAUAUCUGGUUUCAUAGGUAAGGUCCAACUCCUUCAGCGCUUGAACCACCUUCCAUGGAUUAGGACCAUGAGCAUGCGACCAUAAAGUGAAUUGAGCCAUGAUACUUUAUUUUGAGUGUGUUCUAUUGUUAAAUGAAAGGAGUUUGGCAAUGGAUUAAAAUAUAAAGAGCAUCUUUACCAUUUUAUAUACAAUUCUUACUUCCAUUGCGUAUGCAAUAUUUAUGAAAAAUUUUGGAAAACACCCGAAAUCGAGUUGAUCAAUUUCAUCCAACUUACUAAUCGAUCAUACAUUAGACUCAUACGUGGAUUCAACUAAAUUUUACUCGAUUAGCUGACGACAAGCCGGAAGUUAUGAUUUAUGUCAAAACGUGAUCAAAGAAAGAUAAAUCUACUACCGAUUCCAUUUACUAAUACAUUUGAAUCCUGUUAGCCGGUUACACGCUACAUUUAAUCAAUCUUGUAAUGCAUCAAAAUUUCAUGUAAAAUUUCUACCAACAUAUAGUGCGUGGGGACUGACUUCUCGUUUUGUUUAACUAUGUAUAAUCCUUGUGGGAAAUAAACGUAUGCUUAGUGUUAUAUUUAAUUUCUUAAAGGGUCGGCUUAAUGCAAUUCCAAAUUCAAAUGCAAUUAAAACUGUUUCAGGUUCUUAAGACAUGUAGUUUUCAGAAUUUACGAGUCAGUUGAAUAGACAUCUUAUGAUAAAGUUAAUAUAAAAAUAAUAAAAUAGUCUCAACCAUACGCUCGAGAUUUAUUUUGUUCACCACCUGUUCAAAAACCAACGUGUCAAACUUGCUUUUAGAC